RNAcentral lists this ribosomal RNA (253 nucleotides) under uncultured bacterium. RNAcentral's name for it is "partial 16S ribosomal RNA". It matches the Rfam family "Bacterial small subunit ribosomal RNA", at positions 524 to 776 of the family's 1533-position model. The record is from RNAcentral.
UACGUAGGGGGCAAGCGUUGUCCGGAUUUAUUGGGCGUAAAGAGCGUGUAGGCGGCCAGUUAGGUCCGUUGUGAAAACUCGAGGCUCAACCUCGAGACGCCGAUGGAAACCAACUGGCUAGAGUCCGGAAGAGGCGAGUGGAAUUCCUGGUGUAGCGGUGAAAUGCGCAGAUAUCAGGAGGAACACCAAUGGCGAAGGCAGCUCGCUGGGACGGUACUGACGCUGAGACGCGAAAGCGUGGGGAGCAAACAGG